CCUACGGGAGGCUGCAGUGAGGAAUAUUGGUCAAUGGACGAGAGUCUGAACCAGCCAAGUAGCGUGAAGGAUGACUGCCCUAUGGGUUGUAAACUUCUUUUAUAAAGGAAUAAAACGAGGCACGUGUGCCUUUUUGCAUGUACUUUAUGAAUAAGGAUCGGCUAACUCCGUGCCAGCAGCCGCGGUAAUACGGAGGAUCCGAGCGUUAUCCGGAUUUAUUGGGUUUAAAGGGAGCGUAGAGUGGUUGUUAAGUCAGUUGUGAAAGUUUGCGGCUCAACCGUAAAAUUGCAAUUGAUACUGGCAGUCUUGAGUACAGUUGAGGUAGGCGGAAUGCGUGGUGUAGCGGUGAAAUGCUUAGAUAUCACGAAGAACUCCGAUUGCGAAGGCAGCUUACUAACCUGCCACUGACAUUGAUGCUCGAAAGUGUGGGUAUCGAACAGGAUUAGAUACCCCUGUAGUC
RNAcentral lists this ribosomal RNA (460 nucleotides) under uncultured bacterium. Its description in RNAcentral is "partial 16S ribosomal RNA". It matches the Rfam family "Bacterial small subunit ribosomal RNA", at positions 338 to 795 of the family's 1533-position model. The record is from RNAcentral.